CACACUAGGGGGGUGGGGGGCGGCCAUCAGCAGAGGUGCUGCCCUGUGAGCGAGCAGUGGUGAUGGUUCUGUCAGGUAGAAAAGUGAGCUGUGUGGGUCCCGUGCUCCUGGCAGUGGUGGCCCCUGUGGGCAGCGCUGGGCUUCUGGGAGCUGCUGUCAGAUGCUCCCUACCUUUUGCACUCAGCUGUCAGGCUUUUGUAUUGUUUUUUUAAAGACUGAUUUUAAAGAAGAUUUAUUUGUUCAUCUGAAAGGCAGAGUUAGGAGACAGGGUGUGGUCUGCCAUCCACUGGUUUGCACCCCAAAUGGCUGUAAUGGUUGGGGCUGGGCCAGGCCAAAGCCAGGAGCCAGAAACUCCAUCUGGGUUUCUCACAUGGGUGCAGGAGCCCAAGCACUUGGGCCAUCGUCCCCUGCCUUCCCAGGUGCAUUAGCAGGGAGCUGGACUGGAAGUGGAGCAGCCGGCACUCAAACAGGUGCUCAUAUGGGAUGCUGGCGUCGCGGGCAGCAGUUUACCCUGCCGGGGCCCAGGCUUCUGUAUUCUGAGACCCAGACUAACGGGGGCUUGGAGGGGGGCUUGUCUUUGUUUUUUCACUGUGCUUUUCCUCAUGGGGAAGCCAGAGGAAUUCCUACCCCUCCUCCCUUCAGCCAACACACACCAUGCGUGUGGGCAUGCAUGUACAGUGUGCACACACACACACACAUACAACACACAUGUGGGAAUUCCUGCCUGGAGGGCUUGGGUUGGAGUAGCCAGGUACUUGUUCCCCACCCCCUCCCUCUCCAGCACUGCCCUGGCUCAGGGUUGCUCACAGCGUCACAGUUUGGCAGUUGCUUAUGUGUAGCUAUGGUUUGGUGGGAAGUUCUACUUCUGAGUAUUUUACCCGAGAUGAACGCAGACAAACAUUAAUACACAACCUGAACACAGGUGUUUAUAAAGGCUUGUUUCCUGAUUGCCCCAAACUGGGAAAGUGCAGAUGCCCAUCUGCUGGUGAAUGGAUGUACAAACGGGCACAUCCGUGUUAUGUACUAACUCAGCCAUGGGAAAAAACACAUGGCUGGUAUGGAUACCACCAAAGAUGGAUUUCAGAUCAUUCACCCCAUGUGAAAGCAGCAGGUUCCCAAAGACAGGGACUCAGAGCUUUGUAAGGGGGUGUGUGUGUGAGAUGAGGCAGAAAGAAGAAGCAGGACCCAGUGGGGAAGACUCAGGCUGAGCCUUGUGAGGAGCACUCCUCAGGUCUGACCGAAGGUCGGGAGGCCUGGGGCAGCAGGUGCGCUCGCCGUGGCCCUCCACAUAAGGGCAGGCUUGUGCUUAGGGUCGAGGGCCUGGAAAGACUUGGUCUGAGGGGCUUAAGAUUUAUGUAUUUAUUUGAAAGGCAGACUUAGAAGCAAAGGCAGAGAGAGAGAGAGAGGUCUUCAUCCACUGGUUCCCUCCCCAAUUGGCCACAAUGGCUGGAGCUGCACUGAUCUGCAGGCAGGAGCCAGGAGCUACUUCCAUGUCUCCCAUGUGCAUGCAGGGGCCCAGGGACUUGGGCCAUCUUCUGCUGCUUUCCUAGGCCAUAGCAGAGACCUGGAUCGGAAGUGGAGCAGCCGGGAUUUGAACCGGCACCCAUAUGGGAUGCUGGAACUGCAGGUGGCGGCUUUACCCACUACACCACAGUGCCGGCCCCAGUCUGAGGGGUUUAAAUGCUACUUAUAAAAUGGUGGGCUUAUUUCCUAGGCUUUUGGACAGUCCUUUCUCCAGCCUGACAUCCACCUUUUGAAGCAAAAUCUCUUCAACUUGGAGACUCUCAACACCAAGCAGAAGCUGUACCACAAGAAGACCUUCCGGACCACCAUGCUGUUCCAGUUCGUGAACGUGCUGCUCCAGGUCCUCGUUCACAAGUCCCAUGACCUCCUGCAGGAGGAGCUCGGCAUCGCCAUUUACAACAUGGCCUCUGUGGACUUCGACGGCUUCUUUGCGGCCUUCCUGCCAGAGUUCCUGACUGUGACGGUGUGGAUGCCAACCAGAAAAACGUGUUGGGGCAGAGUUUCAAGAUGGAUCCGGUGAG
Oryctolagus cuniculus (rabbit) is the source of this 2045-nucleotide non-coding RNA. The record is from RefSeq and is a predicted model, not a curated record. Lineage: Eukaryota; Metazoa; Chordata; Mammalia; Lagomorpha; Leporidae.